This 409-nucleotide ribosomal RNA is filed under the name uncultured bacterium. Its description in RNAcentral is "bacterial SSU rRNA". It matches the Rfam family "Bacterial small subunit ribosomal RNA", at positions 355 to 776 of the family's 1533-position model. The record is from RNAcentral.
UGGGGAAUAUUGCGCAAUGGGCGAAAGCCUGACGCAGCGACGCCGCGUGAGGGAUGAAUGCCUUCGGGUUGUAAACCUCUUUCAGCAGGGAAGAAGCGAAAGUGACGGUACCUGCAGAAGAAGCACCGGCUAACUACGUGCCAGCAGCCGCGGUAAUACGUAGGGUGCAAGCGUUGUCCGGAAUUAUUGGGCGUAAAGAGCUCGUAGGCGGUCUGUCGCGUCUGCUGUGAAAACUCAGGGCUUAACCCUGAGCUUGCAGUGGGUACGGGCAGACUAGAGUGCAGUAGGGGAGACUGGAAUUCCUGGCGUAGCGGUGAAAUGCGCAGAUAUCAGGAGGAACACCGGUGGCGAAGGCGGGUCUCUGGGCUGUAACUGACGCUGAGGAGCGAAAGCGUGGGGAGCGAACAGG